This 560-nucleotide long non-coding RNA is filed under the name Erythranthe guttata (spotted monkey flower). RNAcentral's name for it is "long non-coding RNA (EGUT_LNC001268)". The record is from RNAcentral. Lineage: Eukaryota; Viridiplantae; Streptophyta; Magnoliopsida; Lamiales; Phrymaceae.
AUAUAUAUAUAACACAAAAUUUAAAAUAAAUAAAUAAAAAAAACAAUAAAAUAAAUUAUAUUGAUCAUCAUCAUAUAUUAUAUAUAAGAAAUUAUUAAUUCGCAUUUACUGCUGGCUUCAGACCGUGCGCAUGCAUACAUUGAGAAUAUAUAUAAUCUCUAGUGCAAGUGUUUCAAUUGGGCUCGAUUCGAUCCAUGCGUACAUUUCGAAAAAAAUCGCGAUUAAGAAACGCAACUUUCGAAUUAGUGGUAUUUAAGACUUAAGAUAACAUAAAAAUAAAGGAAAUAAAUAAAAAUAACUUAUACCCUUGUGUUAUGAUUACACCUUGAACUAGAAUCUGGUAACAAUGCUUGUAGUUUCAAGAUGAGAUCAUUAACUUCGUCAUUAGUGCUACUAAACCUCGUCGUCGCAGCUCGUCGGUUUGGCAUAAUUAACUUUCGGCUAAAGAAAUUUACACACACACACACACUAACUAUAUGUAGUAAAGCAGUAAUAUUACUGUGAAAAUUGUGGUUGUGGGGAAGCUCAAAGGAGAAAACGAGGCUCUUAAAUAAAGGAAC